RNAcentral lists this ribosomal RNA (499 nucleotides) under uncultured Sphingobacteriales bacterium. RNAcentral's name for it is "bacterial SSU rRNA". It matches the Rfam family "Bacterial small subunit ribosomal RNA", at positions 903 to 1382 of the family's 1533-position model. The record is from RNAcentral. Lineage: Bacteria; Pseudomonadati; Bacteroidota; Sphingobacteriia; Sphingobacteriales.
UUGCCAGCCCGCUCAGAAACUUAAAGGAAUUGACGGGGGCCCGCACAAGCGGUGGAGCAUGUGGUUUAAUUCGAUGAUACGCGAGGAACCUUACCUGGGCUCAAAUGUAUGUUGACGUAUUCUGAAAGGGAUACUUCUUCGGACAAUAUACAAGGUGCUGCAUGGUUGUCGUCAGCUCGUGCCGUGAGGUGUCGGGUUAAGUCCCAUAACGAGCGCAACCCCUAUCAUUAGUUGCCAUCAGGUCAAGCUGGGGACUCUAAUGAAACUGCCUACGCAAGUAGUGAGGAAGGUGGGGAUGACGUCAAAUCAGCACGGCCCUUACGUCCAGGGCUACGCACGUGCUACAAUGGCCGGUACAGAGUGAAGCGAAACCGCGAGGUGAAGCAAAACGCAGAAAGCCGGUCUCAGUACGGAUUGGAGUCUGAAACUCGACUUCAUGAAGUUGGAAUCGCUAGUAAUCGCGCAUCAGCAUGGCGCGGUGAAUACGUUCCCGGGCCUU